CCUACGGGAGGCAGCAGUGAGGAAUAUUGGUCAAUGGGCGAGAGCCUGAACCAGCCAAGUCGCGUGAAGGAUGACGGCCCUACGGGUUGUAAACUUCUUUUGUCAGGGAGCAAUUGGGUCCACGCGUGGGCUUAGCGAGAGUACCUGAAGAAAAAGCAUCGGCUAACUCCGUGCCAGCAGCCGCGGUAAUACGGAGGAUGCGAGCGUUAUCCGGAUUUAUUUGGUGUAAAGGGAGCGUAGACGGGUAUGCAAGUCUGAAGUGAAAGCCCAAGGCUCAACCAAGGGAUUGCUUUGGAAACUGUAAGACUGGAGUGCAGUAGAGGUAAGCGGAAUGCCUAGUGUAGCGGUGAAAUGCGUAGAUAUUAGGAGGAACACCAGUGGCGAAGGCGGCUUACUGGACUGUAACUGACGUUGAGGCUCGAAGGCGUGGGGAGCAAACAGGAUUAGAUACCCCAGUAGUC
RNAcentral lists this ribosomal RNA (461 nucleotides) under uncultured bacterium. RNAcentral describes it as "partial 16S ribosomal RNA". It matches the Rfam family "Bacterial small subunit ribosomal RNA", at positions 338 to 795 of the family's 1533-position model. The record is from RNAcentral.